Molecule: ribosomal RNA, 122 nt
Filed under: Anas platyrhynchos (mallard)
Lineage: Eukaryota; Metazoa; Chordata; Aves; Anseriformes; Anatidae
Source: RNAcentral
GCCUACGGCCCAUACCACCCUGGCAACGCCCGAUCUCGUGCUGAUCUCGGAAGCUAAGCAGGGAUCGGGCCCGGUUAGUACUUGGAAUGGGAUACUCCUGGGAAUACCGGGUGCUGUAGGCU